GAUGAAGAACGUAGCGAAAUGCGACAAGUAAUGUGAAUUGCAGAAUUCAGUGAAUCAUCGAAUCUUUGAACGCACAUUGCGCCCGUCAGUAUUCUGGCGGGCAUGCCUGUUCGAGCGUCAUUACGCCCCUCAAGUCCCCUGUGGACUUGGUGUUGGGGAUCGGCGAGGCUGGUUUUCCAGCACAGCCGUCCCUUAAAUUAAUUGGCGGUCUCGCCGUGGCCCUCCUCUGCGCAGUAGUAAAACACUCGCAACAGGAGCCCGGCGCGGUCCACUGCCGUAAAACCCCCCAACUUUUUAUAGUUGACCUCGAAUCAGGUAGGACUACCCGCUGAACUUAAGCAUAUCAAUAAGCGGAGGA
This 358-nucleotide unclassified non-coding RNA is filed under the name soil metagenome. Its description in RNAcentral is "partial contains 5.8S ribosomal RNA, internal transcribed spacer 2, and large subunit ribosomal RNA". The stretch from base 1 to 120 matches the Rfam family "5.8S ribosomal RNA", at positions 35 to 154 of the family's 154-position model. The record is from RNAcentral.